AUUGAACGCUGGCGGCAGGCCUAACACAUGCAAGUCGAGCGGUAGAGAGAAGCUUGCUUCUCUUGAGAGCGGCGGACGGGUGAGUAAUGACUAGGAAUAUGCCUGGUAGUGGGGGAUAACGUUCGGAAACGGACGCUAAUACCCCAUACGUCCUACUAGACACAGCAGGGGACCUUCGGUCCUUGCGCUCUCAGAUGAGCCUAGAUCGGAUUAGCUAGUUGGUGGGGUAAUGGCUCACCAAGGCGACGAUCCGUAACUGGUCUGAGAGGAUGAUCAUUCACAAUGGAAAUGAGACACGGUCCAAAAUCCUACGGGAGGCAGCAGUGGGGAAUAUUGGACAAUGGGCGAAAGCCUGAUCCAGCCAUGCCGCGUGUGUGAAGAAGGUCUUCGGAUUGUAAAGCACUUUAAGUUGGGAGGAAAGGCAGUAAAUUAAUACUUUGCUGUUUUGACGUUACCGACAGAAUAAGCACCGGCUAACUCUGUGCCAGCCGCCGCCGUAA
Molecule: ribosomal RNA, 500 nt
Filed under: uncultured bacterium
Lineage: Bacteria
Description: partial 16S ribosomal RNA
Rfam family: Bacterial small subunit ribosomal RNA
Source: RNAcentral